Long non-coding RNA from Electrophorus electricus (electric eel), 730 nucleotides. Lineage: Eukaryota; Metazoa; Chordata; Actinopteri; Gymnotiformes; Gymnotidae. The record is from Ensembl.
AACAACAGAAUUUACAUCAAGGUCUUAUGGCAAAACAAGUGCAAUGGCUCCAGCUAACGCUUCCACUACUGACAGUGCAAAGACUGAUGUCUCUCCUCAGACUCUGCCCUACAUCCCCUUUGCUUUGGUCACUGUGAUCUUCCUCCACAUUAUCGUGGCUGUGGUUUAUUACACCAAGAGAAACAAAGGUGUUGUCAUCAUCAUAUAUUAUUUUACACAAAGGUAUUUAUAUCUGGGAUAAGCAGAGAGCAGCAGCACCCAGCCAUCUGAAAUCACACCUAAAAACAUUUGGAUUGGUGUUUAACCAUUUAUUUAUCAGAAAUGGUGAUCUGUGUGCUGCAGGUUGUACAGUGACAGAAUUUGUUGGUCACAGAUUUUGGUGUAACACCAUCAUUUAACCAUCUGAUGGCUCAGAGCAAUGUCUGUUUCUGCAUAUAUUCUUAAAUUCACCUUAAAGGUACUUACAUGUUUGAUAUCACAGUGUUCAGAACAAUCUCAGCUAUCUUCCUAAUGAGGUAGAAUUUGACAUAGAUCACUGUAUAAAGUAAUAUUAUGGAAUAUGGAAAUUUUCCAUCUCAUAUGAAAAAAUACCUUUACUCAUGUGGACCUGUUUGGUGAUUGAAAUAGGUUUACCAAAGUAGUGAAAUACAUGAAUAAAGUAAUAUUAAAAUGUCUAAGAAAUGUCUAAAAUGACAUUGUGUACAUUUAUUGAGUAAAAGCAUGGUCUGUU